AAGUCGUAACAAGGUUUCCGUAGGUGAACCUGCGGAAGGAUCAUUACUGGGUAAAGGCCUCGCGCCUCCAACCCCACCCUCCGUAACCGCGGCCCGGAUUCGGCGCAAGGGCGGGACCCCCUCUGUUCGCGGAGGGGCCCCGUCCGCCGGAAUCACGCAACCCUGCCUGAAAAAUGCAGUCUGAGAAAAAUGAAAAAUUAGCGAAAACUUUCAACAACGGAUCUCUUGGUUCUG
This 234-nucleotide unclassified non-coding RNA is filed under the name Venturiaceae sp. RNAcentral describes it as "partial contains small subunit ribosomal RNA, internal transcribed spacer 1, and 5.8S ribosomal RNA". The stretch from base 1 to 46 matches the Rfam family "Eukaryotic small subunit ribosomal RNA", at positions 1786 to 1831 of the family's 1831-position model. Lineage: Eukaryota; Fungi; Ascomycota; Dothideomycetes; Venturiales; Venturiaceae. The record is from RNAcentral.